GAUGAACGCUGGCGGCGUGCCUAAUACAUGCAAGUCGAACGAAACUUCUUUAUCACUGAGUGCUUGCACUCACCGAUAAAGAGUUGAGUGGCGAACGGGUGAGUAACACGUGGGCAACCUGCCCAAAAGAGGGGGAUAACACUUUGAAACAUGUGCUAAUACCGCAUAACCAUAGUUACCGCAUGGUAACUAUGUAAAAGGUGGCUAUACUACCGCUUUUGGAUGGGCCCGCGGCGCAUUAGCUAGUUGGUAGGGUAAAGGCUUACCAAGGCAAUGAUGCGUAGCCGAAUUGAGAGGUUGAUCGGCCACAUUGGGACUGAGACACGGCCCAAACUCCUACGGGAGGCAGCAGUAGGGAAUCUUCCACAAUGGGCGAAAGCCUGAUGGAGCAACGCCGCGUGGGUGAAGAAGGUCUUCGGAUCGUAAAACCCUGUUGUUAGAGAAGAAAGUGCGUGAGAGUAACUGUUCACGUUUCGACGGUAUCUAACCAGAAAGCCACGGCUAACUACGUG
This 512-nucleotide ribosomal RNA is filed under the name uncultured bacterium. RNAcentral describes it as "partial 16S ribosomal RNA". It matches the Rfam family "Bacterial small subunit ribosomal RNA", at positions 28 to 507 of the family's 1533-position model. The record is from RNAcentral.